AUUUUCUUACUAAAUUGUAGGCAUUUUAUUUAUAUAUUUAUUUGUUUGUUUAUUUUUCUUUCAAGGAGAUAGAUGGAAAACUAUCCUAAGAUUACAUGCUGAUUGGAAAUUCUGGAGUUUGCUUAACCACUUUUCAGAAGCUUAAGAAGUGACAACAAGAAGCUGAUCUAGUCUGUGUGCAAAUCCUCAUGCAGUUCUGGAUCGAUGGAUG
This 211-nucleotide long non-coding RNA is filed under the name Coturnix japonica (Japanese quail). RNAcentral's name for it is "lncRNA (ENSCJPG00005019564.1)". Lineage: Eukaryota; Metazoa; Chordata; Aves; Galliformes; Phasianidae. The record is from RNAcentral.